CCAGCUGCGUGAAGUAAUGUGAAUUGCAGGACACAUUGAACAUCGAUAUCUUGAACGCACAUUGCGGCCUCGGGUAUUCCCGAGGCCACGCCUGUCUCAGGGUCG
This 105-nucleotide ribosomal RNA is filed under the name Varichaetadrilus sp. YL-2017. RNAcentral's name for it is "partial 5.8S ribosomal RNA". It matches the Rfam family "5.8S ribosomal RNA", at positions 49 to 154 of the family's 154-position model. From Rfam's summary of the family: 5.8S ribosomal RNA (5.8S rRNA) is a component of the large subunit of the eukaryotic ribosome. It is transcribed by RNA polymerase I as part of the 45S precursor that also contains 18S and 28S rRNA. The record is from RNAcentral. Lineage: Eukaryota; Metazoa; Annelida; Clitellata; Tubificida; Naididae.